This 67-nucleotide transfer RNA is filed under the name Aneurus sublobatus. RNAcentral describes it as "tRNA-Phe". Lineage: Eukaryota; Metazoa; Arthropoda; Insecta; Hemiptera; Aradidae. The record is from RNAcentral.
ACUUAAGUAACUUAAAUUAAAGUAUUACAUUGAAGCUGUAAUUAUAGGUAUUAUUGCCUCUUGAGUG